Molecule: long non-coding RNA, 1190 nt
Filed under: Apteryx haastii (Great spotted kiwi)
Lineage: Eukaryota; Metazoa; Chordata; Aves; Apterygiformes; Apterygidae
Description: lncRNA (ENSAHAG00000010378.1)
Source: RNAcentral
GGAAGCGCUCCAGGCGCUCCCGCUGCGGCGUCCGGCACGGCACCCCCGGCGCCCCCGGGCCCUGCCGGCGCGCAGCCGUCACCGUCGGGAUGGGGACAGCCAUGGGGACAGCCGUGGGGACGGGGAUGACCGGGGGAUGGCCAUGGGGAUGGGGACAGUGACAGGGACACCCAUGGGGACAGGGACAACCCAGGCGAGUGCCCUUGGCGCCCCCGGGCCCUGCCGGCGCACACAGGCGUCACCAUCAUGGGGAUGGGGACAGCAACGGGGACACCCAUGGGGAUGGAGACGGCCAUGGGGACGGCCAUGGGGACGGGGAUGGCCAUGGGGAUGGCCAUACGGAUGACUAUGGGGAUGGAAACAGCGAUGGGGAUGGCCAUGGGGACGCAGACGCCCAUGGGGACAGCCAUGGGGACAGGGACAACCUGGGUGAGUGCCCCUGGGCCCCGCCGGCCCGCAGCCGUCACCGUCAGGAUGGGGACAGCCAUGGGGACAGCCGUGGGGAUGCAGACGGCCAUGGGGACGGCCAUGGGGAUGACUAUAGGGAUGGGGACAGCGAUGGGGACGCCCAUGGGGAUGCAGACGCCCAUGGGGACAGCCAUGGGGACAGGGACAGCGAUGGGCACAGCGAUGGGGACGCCCAUGGGGACGUGGACGCCCAUGGGGACAGCGAUGGGGACAGGGACAACCCAACGAGCGCCCCAGGACACCGGCCGCACGGGGACUGAGGGCACCUGGUCCUGGCUCAGUGCUGGGAACAAGCCUGGGGGCACUGGGGGAUCCUGGUGACAGCCCCGGGGACACUGGAGGACCCUAAGGGCAACCUUGGGGACGUCGGGGACAGCUCUGGGGCUACUGGUGGCCCACGGGGGCAACUCCGGGGACGCUGGGGACAAUCCGGGGACACGGGGGGCCAGCGGGGCCAACCCUGGGGGUGCCAGGCGGGACGGGGACGCAGCGGGGACGCGGGGGGGGACACAGCGGGGACUCACCUCGGCGCCGGGGGGGCCGGAGCCCGGGGGCGGCACCUCGGGGGGCUCCAGCUCCGCCGGCCCCACGUGGCCCCAGGGCGUCCCGUCCGCCGCCUCCGCCUGCGGGACCCGCGUCAGCACCCGGACGCCUGGGCCCCGGGAGCCGCCUGUCCCGGACGCCUGGGCCCUGGGACCUCCCUGUCCCGGACGCCUGGGCCC